Odontomachus brunneus is the source of this 424-nucleotide long non-coding RNA. RefSeq lists it as uncharacterized. The record is from RefSeq and is a predicted model, not a curated record. NCBI's taxonomy places the organism in Eukaryota, Metazoa, Arthropoda, Insecta, Hymenoptera, Formicidae. The transcript has 2 exons.
AUGCGAGGAGCCAGGAGCCUUAAGAACAUCGCUACGAGUGUUUCAAUGGCGGUAUUUCUCUUUCGCCGAGUACUGAUUGCCACGUGAAAUAAAUCGAUUACGUUGGGAGGAGAUAUGUAUAAUAUGAAAAAGGAAACGUAUCUAAACGAUUAAAAAUUCUAUCGCCGCGCAGGGCAACGGUUUUCUGCAAGAGCGCCGGCAUUCGGAGAUGUAAACCGCGUGCUUGCGGACUCCACGCUCUUAAUAAGACAGUAUCAUCCAUGUUGACGCUGAUCGCCAUCCAUCCUACAACAAUGAAAAACUUGGUCCCAGUUGUGAAAUCAAAAGUUAAAGCGCGACUAUGUGAUGUUCGCCUAUUUUGACAUAAGUUCGUGUUAUUAGAUAAUCUUAUUCAUAUCAAUAAUUUUAUUCUUAUCAACUGUUA